CUCACACUUUAGAAGAACUGUAAGUCUUAACUCUCAAAGUCAUUGUCUCUCAUUAGUGCAGAUGUUGCCCCUAGUAUUCAUUACAAUUUGUCUCCUAAAGGAGACUGCUGGUGAAGAUGUCAUAAAACCAGUCGUCACAGAGAAGCAUGUUUUGGAAGGAAAAGAUGUUACACUGAUCUGCAAAUACACUGAGACUGUUCGCAGUUUACAAUGGUAUCGUCAGUAUCCUGGAUCCAAACCUGAGCACCUCAUCACGUUCUAUGAGACCACUCCACAUAAAGAGACCACUCUCCGUCUGAACGCUGCGGCUGAUAAAACAGCCA
Carassius gibelio (silver crucian carp) is the source of this 323-nucleotide long non-coding RNA. RefSeq lists it as uncharacterized. The transcript has 2 exons. The record is from RefSeq and is a predicted model, not a curated record. Lineage: Eukaryota; Metazoa; Chordata; Actinopteri; Cypriniformes; Cyprinidae.